GGGGACCUUCGGGGCCCUAUAACCCGGGUCGCAAGACCCGCAGCAGACGGAAGACAGAA
RNAcentral lists this non-coding RNA (59 nucleotides) under unclassified sequences. RNAcentral describes it as "L2-Alphaproteobacteria ribosomal protein leader". It matches the Rfam family "L2-Alphaproteobacteria ribosomal protein leader". The record is from RNAcentral.